This 378-nucleotide ribosomal RNA is filed under the name uncultured eukaryote. Its description in RNAcentral is "partial 18S ribosomal RNA". It matches the Rfam family "Eukaryotic small subunit ribosomal RNA", at positions 592 to 975 of the family's 1831-position model. The record is from RNAcentral.
CAAUAGCGUAUAUUUAAGUUGUUGCAGUUAAAAAGCUCGUAGUUGGAUUUUGGGUCGGGGGCACCGGUCCGCCGUUCCGGUGUGCACUGGUGGCCCCUUCCUUUCUGCCGGGGACGUGCGUCGCACUUAAUUGGGUGGCGUUCGGAGUCGGCGUUGUUACUUUGAAAAAAUUAGAGUGUUCAAAGCAGGCCAUCGCUCUGAAUACAUUAGCAUGGAAUAACAUGAUAGGACUCCGGUCUUAUUUUGUUGGUUUCCGAGACUGGAGUAAUGAUUAAGAGGGACAGUCGGGGGCAUCCGUAUUUCAUUGUCAGAGGUGAAAUUCUUGGAUUUAUGAAAGACGAACUUCUGCGAAAGCAUUUGCCAAGGAUGUUUUCAUUA